GCAGCCGCGGUAAUACGUAGGUGGCGAGCGUUGUCCGGAAUUAUUGGGCGUAAAGAGCAUGUAGGCGGUUUUUUAAGUCCGGAGUGAAAAUGCGGGGCUCAACCCCGUAUGGCUCUGGAUACUGGAAGACUUGAGUGCAGGAGAGGAAAGGGGAAUUCCCAGUGUAGCGGUGAAAUGCGUAGAUAUUGGGAGGAACACCAGUGGCGAAGGCGCCUUUCUGGACUGUGUCUGACGCUGAGAUGCGAAAGCCAGGGUAGCGAACGGGAUUAGAUACCCC
This 277-nucleotide ribosomal RNA is filed under the name uncultured Phascolarctobacterium sp. RNAcentral's name for it is "partial 16S ribosomal RNA". It matches the Rfam family "Bacterial small subunit ribosomal RNA", at positions 511 to 788 of the family's 1533-position model. The record is from RNAcentral. Lineage: Bacteria; Bacillati; Bacillota; Negativicutes; Acidaminococcales; Acidaminococcaceae.